UUUUGCAUGGUUCUCUAAUCAGGAAAAGAAACCGACAAGCGAUAGCCCCAGUAACGUCGAGUGAAGCGGCAAAUGUUCAAUUUGGAUAUCGCGCCCGGGAGUUGUAAUUUGAAGGCUAGGGGAUCUGGCCCAGACCUGCGCAAGUCCAUUGGAACAUGGCGCCCAAGAGGGUGAGAGCCCUGUCGCGCAGGCCGCAGCCUUGACAUACUCCCGUCAAAGAGUCGAGUUGUUUGGGAAUGCAGCUCAAAGUGGGUGGUAAAUUCCAUCUAAAGCUAAAUAUUGGCGAGAGACACGAUAGCGAACAAGUACAGUGAUGGAAAGAUGAAAAGCACUUUGAAAAGAGAGUGAAUCAGUACGUGAAAUUGUUGAAAGGGAAGGGCUUGCAAGCAGACAUGAGUUCGCUCGGGCCAGCAUCAAUUUCGCGAGGUGGACAACACGCCAGGAAUGUGGCAGGCUCCUGGCACUGUGUUAUAGCCUGCGCGCCAUACACCUCCGCGAGAUUGAGGCCUGCUCCAAAUAGGAUGCUGCGUAAUGACGGUUUU
This 542-nucleotide ribosomal RNA is filed under the name Helenozyma melibiosica. RNAcentral's name for it is "eukaryotic LSU rRNA". It matches the Rfam family "Eukaryotic large subunit ribosomal RNA", at positions 34 to 532 of the family's 3401-position model. The record is from RNAcentral. Lineage: Eukaryota; Fungi; Ascomycota; Pichiomycetes; Serinales; Metschnikowiaceae.